GACGAACGCUGGCGGCGUGCUUAACACAUGCAAGUCGAACGAAGUGGCGAACGGGUGAGUAAUACGUGAGUAACCUGCCCUCCUUUUGGGGAUAAGCCUUGAAAACGGGGUCUAAUACCGAAUAAAGGGGGAUGGGCUCGCGGCCUAUCAGCUUGUUGGGGGGGUGAUGGCCUACCAAGGCGGUGCCGGGUAGCCGGCAUGAGGGGGUGCCCGUCGAAAUGAGGACGGAGAUACGGCCCCGCGUGAGACAGGAGGCAGCAGUGGUGGAGAAUUCACGAUGGGCGAAUGCCUGAUGGAGCUGCGCCGGGUGUGGGAUGAAGGCUUUCGGGUUGAAAACCUCUUUCGGUAUCGAACGGGUAGGUGGAGAAGAAGCGCCGGCUAACUACGUGCCAGCAGCCGCGGUAAUAC
Molecule: ribosomal RNA, 408 nt
Filed under: uncultured bacterium
Lineage: Bacteria
Description: partial 16S ribosomal RNA
Rfam family: Bacterial small subunit ribosomal RNA
Source: RNAcentral